AGACAUUUCUUUUGCUAUGAGUGUCAAUCAAUUUCUGCAAACUCCAUGCAAUACUCAUUAGGAUGCAAUAACUCGUAUUCUCAUACAUAUCAAAAAAGCUUUAGGACAAGGUUUGCUAUAUGAAGACAAGGGUCACUCACAAGUUGUUGAGUGCUCUGAUACAGAUAUCGAAGAUAGGUUGGAAAGCUAAAUUAUCUCAUAAUAACACAGCCAAACAUUUCUUUUGUUGUGAGUAUUGUUAGUCGGUUUCUCCAAGCUUCAUGUAGUACUAAUUAGGAUGCAAUAAGUCAUAUUCACAGAUAUAUCAAAAGAGCUCCAGGACAAGGUUUGCAAUGUAAAUGACAUGAGUCACUCACAAGUUGUUAGGUAUUCUGAUAAUGAUUGGGCAGGAUCUCCCGCAUAUAAGCAAUCUACUUCAGGAUACUAUGUUAUUGUUAUGAAAAGUCAAUCACU
RNAcentral lists this unclassified non-coding RNA (453 nucleotides) under Hevea brasiliensis (rubber tree). Lineage: Eukaryota; Viridiplantae; Streptophyta; Magnoliopsida; Malpighiales; Euphorbiaceae. The record is from RNAcentral.